Molecule: ribosomal RNA, 476 nt
Filed under: uncultured Thiobacillus sp.
Lineage: Bacteria; Pseudomonadati; Pseudomonadota; Betaproteobacteria; Nitrosomonadales; Thiobacillaceae
Description: bacterial SSU rRNA
Rfam family: Bacterial small subunit ribosomal RNA
Source: RNAcentral
AAAGGAAUUGACGGGGCCCGCACAAGCGGUGGAGUAUGUGGUUUAAUUCGAUGCAACGCGAAGAACCUUACCUGGGUUGGAAACCCCUGGAAUCCUGCAGAGAUGUGGGAGUGCUCUUUUAGAGAAUCAGGUGUCCAGGUGCUGCAUGGUUGUCGUCAGCUCGUGUCGUGAGAUGUUGGGUUAAGUCCCGCAACGAGCGCAACCCUUAUCAUUAGUUGCUACGCAAGGGCACUCUAAUGAGACUGCCGGUGACAAACCGGAGGAAGGUGGGGAUGACGUCAAGUCCUCAUGGCCCUUAUGGGUAGGGCUUCACACGUCAUACAAUGGUCGGUACAGAGGGUUGCCAAGCCGCGAGGCGGAGCCAAUCCCACAAAGCCGAUCGUAGUCCGGAUUGUUCUCUGCAACUCGAGAGCAUGAAGUCGGAAUCGCUAGUAAUCGCAGGUCAGCAUACUGCGGUGAAUACGUUCCCGGGUCUU